AGAGGGGCGGGCUCCUUUGUUGACUUAAGAGUUCACCAGGCAAGAUGGAACAAUUAUCUUGUUGCCUCUUCUUAACUGUCUAUUGUUGACUUACUUCUAGUAUGCUUCCAUUGUACAAAAUUCUAUCCAAAAUUGAAGAAUAAAUCGUAAGUUAAAAAGAUACAUGUACUAGCCCAGGAAGAUCCCUGCAUCUUGAACAGUAAUGCUGAAUCGGAAACUAUGUCGUUACCCAUAAGUAGAAUCCUCCUGACUUUCACUUAAAUAUCAGGACCCAAAUUAUUUUAUGUCUCACUUCAGAACAUAGCACAAUGUGCUAUUUUAUCUUCUUGGCCCAGUCUUUAGAUUUAUUCUAUACUCUCCGUGUUACAAGCUGCACAAACCAUUGGUGACAAUGAGAACCACUCUAUAUAGUUUUACUGACUUUGGAUUCUC
RNAcentral lists this long non-coding RNA (432 nucleotides) under Homo sapiens (human). RNAcentral describes it as "HSALNT0087560". The record is from RNAcentral. Lineage: Eukaryota; Metazoa; Chordata; Mammalia; Primates; Hominidae.